Molecule: RNA transcript, 1889 nt
Organism: Nycticebus coucang (slow loris)
Lineage: Eukaryota; Metazoa; Chordata; Mammalia; Primates; Lorisidae
Gene: POLD2
Gene name: DNA polymerase delta 2, accessory subunit
Exons: 11
Source: RefSeq, a predicted model, not a curated record
GUGCAGGACAACAGAUCCAGGCCGUAGAGCCGGCCUCAUGGGGCCGUGCGCUAGUGGUUUGGUGGGCGUUCCUGCCGCGUGGAUCUGAGCUGGAGGGCCGCCCACGGUCUCGUCCGGGCUAAGGCGGCCUGGCUGCUGCCGCCAUCAAGCAGUGACCCUUGGCCUUGGUGAAGCUGUCUGGAUAGAACAAGCCAGGAGCAUAGACCAUGUUUUCCGAGCAGGCUGCCCAGAGAGCCCACACUCUGCUGUCCCCACCAUCAUCCAACAAUGCCACCUUUGCCCGGGUGCCUGUGGCAACCUACACCAACUCCUCGCAACCCUUCCGGCUGGGGGAACGCAAUUUUAGCCGGCAGUACGCCCACAUUUAUGCCACCCGCCUCAUCCAAAUGAGACCUUUCCUGGUGAACCAGGCCAAGCAGUACUGGGGCAGUGGAGUCGAAGUAAAGAAGCUGUGUGAGCUGCAGCCUGGGGAAAAGUGCUGUGUGGUGGGGACUCUGUUCAAGGCCAUGCAGCUCCAGCCAUCCAUCCUGCGAGAGAUCAGUGAGGAGCACAACCUGCUCCCCCAGCCUCCGCGAAGCAAGUAUAUCCACCCAGAUGAUGAGCUAGUCUUAGAAGAUGAAUUGCAGCGUAUCAAACUGAAAGGCACCAUUGAUGUGUCAAAGUUGGUCACAGGAACAGUCCUGGCUGUACUUGGCUCCGUAAGAGAAGAUGGGAAGUUUCUUGUGGAGGACCACUGCUUUGCUGACCUUGCUCCACAGAAGCCCAUGCCCACCCGCGACACAGACCAGUUUGUGCUGCUGGUAUCAGGUCUGGGCCUGGGUGGAGGUGGAGGCGAGAGCCUACUGGGCACCCAGCUGCUGGUAGACGUGGUGACAGGGCAGCUUGGGGAUGAAGGGGAGCAGUGCAGCGCUGCCCACGUGUCUCGGGUCAUCCUUGCUGGCAACCUCCUCAGCCACAACACCCAGAGCAGAGAUUCUAUCAAUAAGGCCAAGUACCUCACCAAGAAAACCCAGGCAGCCAGCGUGGAGGCUGUGAAGAUGCUGGAUGAGAUCCUUCUGCAGCUGAGCGCCUCAGUGCCUGUGGAUGUGAUGCCAGGUGAAUUUGAUCCUACCAACUACACACUCCCCCAGCAGCCCCUCCACCCCUGCAUGUUCCCACUGGCUACUGCCUACUCCACGCUUCAGUUGGUCACCAACCCUUACCAGGCCACCAUCGAUGGAGUCAGAUUCCUAGGGACAUCUGGACAGAAUGUUAGUGACAUUUUUCGAUAUAGCAGCAUGGAGGAUCACUUGGAUAUCCUUGAGUGGACCCUGCGGGUUGGUCACAUCAGCCCCACAGCCCCUGACACCCUAGCUUUGCUGAGACCUAAGAAGCUGAGAAGCUGGAUGUCUGUUCUGGAAGCUACUCUGGAAUCUUAAUUCUGUCUAUGGCCAAGGCAUGCUCAGGGCUGAAGGCCAUGGGAGUGUAUUGGAAGCCUGGCUGACCAGAGCACAGCACCCUCACCCAAGGCCCACCCUGAAGGGCACAGGCAGCAGGAGUGAGCUGACCUGUUCCUGGAGUCAUGUGGCAAUGUCUGGAGGUGCUUUUGUUGUCACAGCUGGGGGUGCUGCUACUGGCACACAGUGGGAAAGGAAAGGAUGCUGGUCCACAUGGUGUGUAAGGCCCUGGUGGGACUGCCCAGCCCAUGUCCUGGUGCUGAGGCUGAGGAACCCUGCUCAGCAAUAGGCCCUUCUCCUCCAGGUUGCUACCCCUUCUACAAAACUGACCCGUUCAUCUUUUUGGAGUGCCCUCAUGUCUACUUUUGUGGCAACACCCCCAGCUUUGGCUCCAAAAUCAUCCAAGGCCCUGAGGACCAGAGAGUGCUGUUGGUGACUGUCCCCGACUUCAGU